Molecule: long non-coding RNA, 228 nt
Filed under: Elaeis guineensis (African oil palm)
Lineage: Eukaryota; Viridiplantae; Streptophyta; Magnoliopsida; Arecales; Arecaceae
Description: long non-coding RNA (EGUI_LNC040721)
Source: RNAcentral
UCCAUCUACUUUCUACCAAAUUAUUUUACUUGUGUUGUUUAUUUAUUUAAAAUUUUUUAUCAAAAUAUAAUUAUUUUAAAAAAAUUAUCAAAAAUAAUAUUUUUUAAAAAAAUAUUUAUCAAAAUAUUAUUCAAAAAAAAAUCAUCCUAUCAAUGUCAACUCAUCACUUUUCACAUCAUGUGAAAAGGUAAGUCAGAAAAAGAGAGCCGCCUUACCGAAGGGCGACUC